This 63-nucleotide transfer RNA is filed under the name Bhutanitis mansfieldi. RNAcentral describes it as "tRNA-Phe". The record is from RNAcentral. Lineage: Eukaryota; Metazoa; Arthropoda; Insecta; Lepidoptera; Papilionidae.
UUUAAAUAGCUUAUAAAGAGUAUAAUAUUGAAGAUAUUAAGGAAAUUGAAUAAUUUUUAAAUA